RNAcentral lists this ribosomal RNA (478 nucleotides) under uncultured bacterium. RNAcentral's name for it is "partial 16S ribosomal RNA". It matches the Rfam family "Bacterial small subunit ribosomal RNA", at positions 28 to 523 of the family's 1533-position model. The record is from RNAcentral.
GACGAACGCUGGCGGCGUGCUUAACACAUGCAAGUCGAACGGUAAGGCCCUUCGGGGUACACGAGUGGCGAACGGGUGAGUAACACGUGGGUGAUCUGCCCUGCACUUCGGGAUAAGCCUGGGAAACUGGGUCUAAUACCGGAUAGGACUCCGGACUGCAUGGUCUGGGGUGGAAAGCUUUUGCGGUGUGGGAUGGGCACGCGGCCUAUCAGCUUGUUGGUGGGGUGAUGGCCUACCAAGGCGACGACGGGUGGCCGGCCUGUGAGGGUGACCGGCCACACUGGGACUGAGAUACGGCCCAGACUCCUACGGGAGGCAGCAGUGGGGAAUAUUGCACAAUGGGCGCAAGCCUGAUGCAGCGACGCCGCGUGAGGGAUGACGGCCUUCGGGUUGUAAACCUCUUUCAGCAUCGACGAAGCGAAAGUGACGGUAGGUGCAGAAGAAGGACCGGCCAACUACGUGCCAGCAGCCGCAGUAA